GCAACACCAAAGAGAACGGAAAGCUAAGUACUUCGUUUUGGGUCCUUGGCUCUUCCUUUAGUAGCGCUGGUUUGCUAAGGUAAGCUCGGUCCCCGUGUUGCCGGAGCGUAGGAAGGACGCUUGCGGGGUGAGGACGGCCCCCACACACGGCGAUUGGGUAGUUAACCCGCAGGCGGAGUGACUAGCUGCUGCUGUUUGGCCCUAGGUCGGCACCGCGGGUCCGUCCCGGGUCCCUAGUCUGGCUAAGCAUGUAGUUGGCGAGUCCUGGAUACGCAAGGAUAAAACACGAGAAGGACAUAGCCCCUCCCUGGCAAACUAGUCUUAGACAAAAGAAGCAAGUAAAAGUAGCAUCGGAUAUAGCAAAGCUUGAGUAAACGAGUUAACAAAUAACACUUGUGAUGACAAGGGAAAGCUAACACAAAAAGUUCUAAGGCGCCAUGCGCCCCUUGCAGGGAAACAAAAAAACGAAAAAAUAGACAAUCAUGCAGGAGGCGCUCCCGGGGCGGCUGCGUCGGCCUCAGGUGCAUCCUCGGCGCCGGGGGCUUCCCCGGCAACUUCCUCGUCAAUGGCUUCGGCUUCAUCGACCUUGCCUUGCAUCCGUGCCACCAUCUCGUCC
RNAcentral lists this long non-coding RNA (616 nucleotides) under Brachypodium distachyon (stiff brome). Its description in RNAcentral is "long non-coding RNA (BDIS_LNC005805)". Lineage: Eukaryota; Viridiplantae; Streptophyta; Magnoliopsida; Poales; Poaceae. The record is from RNAcentral.